Molecule: ribosomal RNA, 301 nt
Filed under: uncultured bacterium
Lineage: Bacteria
Description: partial 16S ribosomal RNA
Rfam family: Bacterial small subunit ribosomal RNA
Source: RNAcentral
CAGCAGCCACGGUAAUACGUAGGUGGCAAGCGUUGUCCGGAAUUAUUGGGCGUAAAGGGCUCGCAGGCGGUUUCUUAAGUCUGAUGUGAAAGCCCCCGGCUCAACCGGGGAGGGUCAUUGGAAACUGGGAAACUUGAGUGCAGAAGAGGAGAGUGGAAUUCCACGUGUAGCGGUGAAAUGCGUAGAGAUGUGGAGGAACACCAGUGGCGAAGGCGACUCUCUGGUCUGUAACUGACGCUGAGGAGCGAAAGCGUGGGGAGCGAACAGGAUUAGAUACUCCCGUAGUCCCUGUCUCUUAUAC